AGGCACCCCAUAGGCGGACCCACAUUGGCCCUGAAGCCAUUUGAGUCAAGCGUGAAUCAAAGGGAAUACUGCAUAGGGGGCGAAUUUUAGAUUGGAUAUUUAAAAUAAUCCAGGCUAUAGUUUAAGUUUAAGGGUGGACCAGCAACGCUUUUAUCUCUGUUCAUAAAAGAAAAAAGGAUAAAAAAGAAGUGAAGCGAAACAAUUUAGGGCAAAAGGAGACUUCACGUGAGAGCGAUAGGAGAGAGAAAACAGCUCCGUCUGUGGAUCACCCUGCUUUAAUGGAGAAAAUCUGCAUGGAGUCUUUUCACCGUGUUAAAAAUGGGACUGCAUGAGUCUGCACUGUGUAGCGUAUCCCUGCUGGCACAAGGCGUACUUUGAAGAGUGUGCUUCUCCCAACUCGGUAGCUGAUCAGAACCAGCUGAAUCUGGUGUGAAACAUUGAGUUGGUGUUGGAGGACUUCUGACUUCCUGCAGAGCGUCCUGCGGGAUGUGUUGUUAUUAAGGCCCAGAUCUCAUUAUGAUGACCACAUCUUCUAUCGUCUUCCACAUCUAGCAGGGCGUCAACAUUAACACAAAGCCAACAUCCGCCCCCCUGUACUAGUGCUGAUGUGGCACUUGUUAAUGGUGCCAGUAUGUCUCAGUCCUGACUAAGGAAGAUAUGGUCUCACAUUAACCAGCAAUGGGGAAGAAAAACAAACAUUCUGGUGGCUGAUCAUCUGUUGAAUUGGUGGGAAUCUGCAACUCAAAUCAUUACGACCGCUGACCUAACAACAAUGCAUUAGAAGGAACUGCAGAAGCCUGUUUUGGUAAAUGGUGUUUGAUGGCUUUAAUAAACAUUUUCCAUUACGCCCAGGAACCAAGAAGAAAGGAAAGAGCUCACUGGGAAUACAUGUAAGACUGUGGGAGCCAUCAGUGCUGAAAACAAAAUAAAACGAUUUUAUUGUGCCUCCAUAACAUUCACAAACUCUCUUCCCUUUAAGUGUGUCUGAGUAGCUCCAAGCUGUAUGCCAGACAUAGGGCUGGUGAGGGCCCAUGUUUUAUUAAUUUGCAGAUGAGCUCAGCUUUUGAUGGCGUUGGCCGCCCAUGGGUUCAAUUAGGAUAAUACUGGGAGAGGGGCAGAUUAUGGGCUACAAUUUAAGUGAGGGUACUGUAUAUCUCUUCCUGACAGUUAUAGUCCAAAUGCAACAAAUUGCACCUUAGUGGCUGUGAGUGGCUUCAUAUCAUUCCACUGGUGAUGAAACAUGGCAAUGUGGCGGCUCAGCUGCUGUGGAGACAACACCUGGCAGCAAGAGCCAUGUCCACUCUGAACUAACAACACACUCCUGCAGUUCAACCUUUUUCCAUUCAGUAAAGACCAUUUAGAAAACAUUGGUCUAUACAAUGGAGCUCUGAGUUUCUACUCGACCCAGUGAAGCCUAAACAUUCCCAGUUAGCACAACUCUUUCUAAGCUAUGCCCUUUUUCGG
Girardinichthys multiradiatus is the source of this 1464-nucleotide long non-coding RNA. RefSeq lists it as uncharacterized. The transcript is spliced from 4 exons. Lineage: Eukaryota; Metazoa; Chordata; Actinopteri; Cyprinodontiformes; Goodeidae. The record is from RefSeq and is a predicted model, not a curated record.